Molecule: long non-coding RNA, 542 nt
Filed under: Calidris pygmaea (Spoon-billed sandpiper)
Lineage: Eukaryota; Metazoa; Chordata; Aves; Charadriiformes; Scolopacidae
Description: lncRNA (ENSCPGG00000009167.1)
Source: RNAcentral
AACGGUUUUGCAGGUGCCUCCUGUGACAGUGAAAGCUGGACCCGACGCUCCAUUUCGGGUGGUGGGGCUGCAGCAGGCCUGGCGGGAGGAUGGCUUGGCCCUCUAUGCUUGUCUGAUGCCAGCAGAUGAGUCUUCAGCCCAGAACAGCACCGAGGUCCAGAAGAUAAAUGCUAAAGAAGAUCUACAAGGACCAUCCACUUUAUACCAGAAGAUUUCUGCAUUUCUAGCCUGUACAUGGCUUCCGGAUGUUCUCUGGUGGAGGGCAGAACUGGCCAAUCGCUUCCAAAAACAGCCCUGUCCACUUCUUCCUGAAAUUCCCUCUGUCCUGCUCAGUUACAUCACUGCUGUUAAUCCCGAUCCUCAGGCAGUGGAGAAGGUGUUUGCAGUGCCAGGUGGAUUUUACUGGCAGACAGUCGAAACUGAGGAAAAAUACUUCCCUAACAGCAGUGACAUCCAGGCUUGCAGAGAUACAGACACCGAGGUAAAGAAAACCAAACAAACCACUCCUUUCUGAGUUGUGGGAUGUUGUGGGAAGUCGAGAG